GAAUUUGAGAAUGUCGGAAAGGUAAUUGUAGGAAAUUGCAACGGAUUACCACUAAUGAUUUCUGUGGUUGCAGGGUCUCUUUCUAGCAAGAGGACGCUGGACGAGUGGAAUGAAGUAGCUCAAAGUGUAAGCUCAUUAGUAAACCUUGAUGAUUAUCAACGUUGCUCAGGAGUGCUCGCUUUGAGCUACAAUCAUCUUCCUUCCCACUUGAAAGCUUGCUUUCUGUAUUUCGGAGUUUUCAAAAAAGCUACUGAAAUUUCUGUGGAAAACUUGAUUAGAUUAUGGAUGGCAGAAGGACUCUUUAAGCUGAGGGGAAUUUGGGAAUUGGAAAAAGAAGCUUAUAGUCUACUACAUGAUCUUAUUGAUAAAAGUCUAAUUGUUGCUUGCAAGCGUAGUUUUGAUGGCAAAAUCAAGACAUGUAGGAUUCAUGAUCUUCUCCAUGAUUUAUGCUUGAGAGAAUCUGAAAGUGAGAGUCUUUUGUAUGUUUCAAAUCCCCCAAUUUCAGGUACCAAUGUUCCUCAACAUCGUCGGUGGGUUUCAUUUCAUCAAGAGCCAGUGCGAGAUUUUUUUUCUCUUCCCUUCCCUACUUAUGGUAAAACGCGUUCUCUUCAUUUUCUUGCGGUAAAACCGUACAGUCUUGAAUUUGAAUUAGGAUUAGACCGUUUCAAACUUCUUAGAGUAUUGGACUUGCUGGGAUCAGGCGUGUGGUAUUUACCUAAUGGAUUAUCAAACCUAGUUUCCUUAAGGUAUUUGAGGGCUGGGUUCAUCAGUGGAUAUCUACCAAUUUAUAAACUUCAAAAUUUACAAUUUCUUAGUUUACGUCAAGUUAAUAAGUUACAAGCCAUUAAGUUUCACUUACCAGAUGAAACCUGGAAAAUGUCUCAAUUGAGGCAUCUCGACUCUGCAAGUUUUUAUUUGUGUUCUCCUCCAAAGGUAUCUGGCAAUAGGUACCGGGUUUUGGAAAACUUGCAAAGUGUUCAUGGGUUGAGACCAAUUUGUUGCACUAAAGAAAUGUUUAAAGGGAUUAAAAAGGUGAAAAAAUUGGGGAUUUGUGGCAACAGUAAUCACUUCUAUGAUGCGCCCAAAUGCCUAGAUAAUCUUAUAUAUUUACCUGAGCUAGAGGCACUAAAAAUCUUAUUAUACGACCGUUACAGAAGUGAUUUCCUUCAUAGGCAUCCAGUUCCAUGUGUGGGUUCUUUCCCACCGAAUCUCAAGAAGCUGACACUUCAAGGAACUCGUCUAUUAUGGUCGCAACUGACCGUCAUUAGCAAGUUGCCCAAACUCGAGGUGCUCCAAUUUAAGGCAUUACAGUUGUUUGGUGAUGAGCGUGGAGAAACUGCCUGGGAAGUAUCAGAGAUGGGAUUUCCUAAAUUGAAAUUUUUGCUCAUAGAGAAGAAGGGUCUUGAAUACUGGACUGCCACCGACGAUUCUUUUCCAUGCCUUGAGUGUGUAAUUAUCAAAAAAUGUCGUUUCUUACAAGAGAUUCCUAAAGAAUUUGCAGAUAGUAUGACACUGAAGAGAAUUGAGUUAUGGGGAUGUACUCCUUCCCUUGUGAAUUUCGCUAAGGAGAUCCAAGAAGAGCAAGAGAUUUUGGGAAACAACAUACUUCAAGUUUAUGCCUAUGACACGAUUACAGGUAAGUGGAAUGAUUCUUCAACAUCCAUUAUAUGUUUUACCAGUAAUUAAUUGACCUGAUGACUUUGAUUCAAAAUUUUAUGUGAAUAACUACUAGUAUAUCUUUUGAUUGUAAUAAGAUAGGUAAAAUUGAAUAUUUCAUAUGUAUAGACUCUGUAAAAGUGGAAGGGGGGGAUGGAAUUCAUUAGAUUGAAUAAGUUGAUCACAUCUCUCUUACAUCUUGAGAGGCCUAGUUUAGUCCAUUAUAUUGUUGGGACAUUUGGUUAUAGAAAUUUGUUGGAAAUGAAGGCACUUUUGAAAGAGUAGCAUGCCAAUUACUGCAAAAAAAAUGUGCCCUAACAUCUAUGAUAAGCGUACUGGGGAGAUGUGAUUAGACAGAACAUGGUGCAGCUUCAGCUUAUCAAGGAUAUGACCUUAAAUCAGAGGGUGUAGAAGUCAUGGAUUAGGGUAGAAGGUUAGUAGGUAGUGUAGUGUUCUCUUGCUUCGGAAGGGUUUAGGCUUAGUGGUGUACGGUGUCUGUCGUAGUAUUUGUUUUAUUCUUGUAAUGUCUUGCUUUUGCUUUCUAUCACCAUCUGUUUUUGUUAUGGUGUUUCAAUUAUUGCAUUAUUUUGUUCUUAUUACUGUUUUCUUCCGUAUUAGUUGCUUCACUGUAUAUAUAUGUCCUAUCGAGGAAGAUGCAAAGGAAGAAGUAUAUAUAUGUCCUAUCGAGGAAGAUGCAAAGGAAGAAGUAUAUAUAUGUCCUACCGAGGAAGAUGCAAAGGAAGAAGUAUAUAUAUGUCCUACUCUCUUAAAAAUAUGUGCAGAAGUAUAUAUAUGUCCUACCGAGGAAGAUGCCAAGGAAGAAGUAUAUACAUGUCCUACCGAGGAAGAUGCAAAGGAAGAAGUAUAUGAUAGAAGCUAUUUUGGUUUACUUAAAAACUGGUUGCGGAAGAUGAUUGUUCGAGGAAGAUGCAAAGGAAGAAGUAUAUAUAUGUCCUACCGAGGAAGAUGCAAAGGAAGAAGCUGGUGAUAGAAGCUAUUUUGGUUUACUUAAAAACUGGUUGCGGAAGAUGAUUGUGUCAUUGUGUGAAAAUGAGUUUUAAGCAAGACUCGUGAAGUCAAGGACAUUCAACAUCUACUAUAUCCAUCAAAAAUAAGUUUCAACUUCAUAUAUACCGUGUAAGUCUCCAUCGGAACAGGUUUGGUUGAACUCCCUUACUCUGGCAUCGCUCCUUGUGGGAUUACACUUGGAUUGUUAUUAUUGUUCUUGUUCUUGUAUCUCAUAAAAUGGGGUUGAUUUUAUCAUCAAUACUCAAACUAGAAUAUGUAAUAGUUCAUUUGUACUUUUAUCCCUAUUUUGUGAUGCUCUUUGAGCAAAUAAUUUUUUUGUGAGAUAUAAGUUUAUAUUUUCAUAUGAUAAUAUUCUACAAGUAAUUAUUGUUUUGUACUCUUAAAGUACAUAUGUAAGCUAAGUAUAAGUUCGAUUGCUAAGGAUAAAUUAAAAGACGAAGGGAAAAUGGUGUUAUUUCUUCUCAUUAAUUACCAUUUUUAGUUGAUUCAUUAGCUCUUGUGAAAAAUUGGUCUAGUAAUUUGAUUUUUCUUGACCCAUUUUUUGUUAAAACUACAACACACGUACAUUAUCCUACAACAAAUGAACCAAAAUUUUCUUUCUGUUAUCUUGUUUUUGUGUCACUUUCAAAUGUUAUUAUAAGAUCAUAUUUAUUAAAAAAAAAAAUGAUUUCAAAUGUAUUAUUAUAACUCGCUUCGGGUUAUAGUUUAGGGCUCAAUUGUUUGCCGUUAAUAAACUGAAUGGUUUAGAUCUUAGGUUAUUAAGUGCAUUUGUUUUGAAUAAGUUAUCAUUGAAGUAUUGAGUGAAGGCUUAAUAUUAUUAAGACUAUGUCUGAGUGAAUAAUUUUCAUAUCACUCUAUUCAUAAUUUCUAACCACCAUCAUUACCAUUUCUGACAUCACAAUUAUCACCAUUAUUAUUCGACCAUCAUUUACGUCGCUAACUAUCAGCCGCCACACCAACCAACAUAGCCAUCAGACCGUCACGGGCAACCACUUCUUAGGUGUAACUGUGAUAUCUUCCCUUACUUUGUUAAUAGUAUAAAAGCAGUUGUUCUCUGAUGGACGUAGGAUCACAUUGAUCUGAACCACGUUAACUCUUAUGUUUUUUCUUUUACUUCUCCGCUAACAACCAGCUCCUCUUUUCUUUGGGGCUGUGUAAGGGUGUGUAAACUUUUCAGAAGCUGACCAGGUCAAAGAAAACUCAGUAGCCAUUAGAAAUGGCUAGUUGAUUUCAAAUAGUUAUAUAAUAUGCCAGUUGACUUUCCAGCUUUAUUAGAAAAUGGCUAGUUGUAUGUAAUGAUAGUGCUGUCCAAUUCAAGCAACUCCUUAAUUAAUGCUACAAUUUGGUACUAGUGAAAUCUUCUGAUUGUUUAGUGUUUGAAAACCAUUUGACUUAACAAAUUUCAAAUCAGUAGGCUGACUAUUACCUUGUUGUAAAAUGCAAUUUCCAAUAUAGAUCUGUUCUAGGAAACUUCGAGCAAUUACUAGUAUUUAAUACCCUGACCAGCUCAGUUGAUAUAGUGAUAUACUUGUAAAUCGAAUUUCUUCAUUCACAAAUCUUGUAUAGAAUUAGAAUAGGAGAUGGCUGUUUAUGCUGCUGUUACUUCUCUGAUGGGAACAAUGCACCUGAUUUCGCAAUCCAGCUUAGACUUUCAGGAAAGUAACAAAGAAUGUUCGAAAUCACUCUACGAGAAGGUUGGUUCUCUGUUAGAGUUUCUUGAUAAUGCAGAAUUAGCAGAUCGCUUACAAAAAAGUUUCAAGGGUAAAAGGUAUUUGAUCGUUGUGGAUGACAUAUGGAGCAGGGAAACCUAGGAUGAGAUUAGACUAUGGUUCCCAGAAAACAAUAAUACAAGUCGAAUAUUGCUGACUACUCGGAUCAUGGAGGUUGCUCGAUAUGCUAGCUAUCCUAAGAAUCCUUUUCCAAUGUGUCCCCUGGAACCAAAGGAAAGUUGGGAUUUGUUUUGCCAAAAGGCGUUUGGCGAAAAAGAUUGUCCAACCAAAUUUCAAACUUCCGCAAAGGUAAUUGUUGAAAAUUGCAAAGGAUUACCACUAAUACUUUCGGUGGUUGCAGGGACACUCUCUAGCAAAAGGACACUGGACGAGUGGAAUCAAGUAGCUCAAGGUGUGAGCUCAUUAGUAAACGUUGAUGAUUAUCAGCAUUGCUCAAGAGUUCUCGCUUUGAGCUACAAUUAUCUUCCUUCACAUUUGAAAGCUUGCUUUCUAUAUUUCGGAGUUUUCACAAAAGCUAGUGAGAUUUCUGUGAAAAAGUUGAUCAGAUUAUGGAUUGCAGAAGGACUUUUUGAGCUAAGAGGACGACUCAGGGAUUUGGAAGAAGUGGCUGAUAGUCUUCUACAUGAUCUUAUUGAUAAAAGUCUAGUCAUGGUUAGCAAGCGAAGCUUGGAUGGUAAAAUCAAGACAUGUAAGAUUCAUGAUCUUCUCCAUGAUUUAUGCUUGAUAGAAUCUGAAAGUGAGAAUCUUUUAUAUGUUUCUAAUUCCAAAACAGUUGUUCCUCAAGAUCAUCGAUGGGUUUCAGUUCAUUCAGAUCGAGGUUUUAUUUCUCCAUUUGGUACUUAUAACAAAACACGUUCUGUUCAUUUACCUUAUGGAAUACUGGAAUUCAAUAUUCUUAAAUUAGGACUAGACCAUUUCAAACUACUUAGAGUAUUAAACGUGGCGAGAGUGAAGUUGAUAUCUUUCCCUAGUGAAUUAUCAAACUUAGUCGCUUUAAGAUAUUUUUCUAUGAUGGUUUAUGGGAGAAUUGAAUAUCUACCAAUUUACAAGCUUUUGAAUUUACAAACUUUUAUUUUUCUUCUAGACUCUAGAUACAGUAUUACUGUACAAUUACCAAAUGGAAUCUGGAAAAUGUCUCAAUUGAGGCACCUCCACUGUAGAAGCAUUUAUUUUUUGAGUUCUCCUCCAAACAAGUAUCGGGUUUUGGAAAACUUGCGAAGUGUUUCUGGGUUGAAUCCUUCUUGUUGCACAAAAGAAAUAUUCCAAGGGAUUAAGAAAGUGAAACAGUUGGGUAUCAGUAACUUACCUUGUUCCAACAAACAGAAUAAACACAGCUCAAAGAAAUGAAUUUUAAUUAGACCUUUGUGCUGAUAACAUGUUAUAAAAUCAAACUCAAAACAAUAUAAUUAUAAAGAGAAGAAGACAAAAUAAGUAGAUGAAGGAGAAGAUUUUUCUUCUUAUUCAAGUGUGUCCUCCAAAUGAUGAAUGAUAUCUCUAUUUAUAGUGUUGAUAUAUCACUUCCAAAGAUCUCCUGGUUAAAUGCCAAACUAGUAGAUACAUAGUUAUCCACCUAGGUUCAUAUCACCUUGGAAUUAUACAUACAUGAAUUCAAUUAAUUCUUGAAGAAAUCAAAUGGAUAUUCCACUGCUCAAUGAAUUUAUAACAUAAAAAAAUGUGAACCAUUUUGUUCUAAUUUUAUAAAAAUAAUUCCAUCAAACAUAAUAUAUUUGACAUAAAUUUAUAUAUAUAUCCUUCUGGAUGUUCAUGACUAAUUAAUUUGAUAUUUCAAUGAUGAGCUUCCAUGAUUACCAUUGUCCCAUUUGUCGAGUUAUUUGCAGAUCAGAAAUACAUCUUUCUCUCAUUGAACAAUUAGUUGGACGCUAUAGAAUGGAGUUAUUUGAAAUCCACCCAAUUGCCCCAUUCUAUCUACAAAACUAAAAGGAUUUUUAUUUUUAAUAAAUUUAAAGAAGUACAUCAUUUAUUCUAUCCGUAAAUUUAAAGAAGUACAUCAUUUAAUAAAUUUAAAGAAGUAAAUAUCCUGCAAUCUAAAUUUGUUUACAGAAGGGUAAUUAAAAUGAUUUACAACAAACAUUCAACACCCAUUAUAUGUUUGACUUUUCGUUGUGUUAAACCAGUGGAUGCAUGUAAUUGGUCAUGUUAGUGCCUAUAAGGCAAUGGUGGAUGUAGGAACACUUUGAGCUGAACCACGUUAAAUCUUGUGUUUUUUCUUUUACGUUUCCGCUAAUGACAAGCUCCUCUUUUCUUUGGGGCUGUACUGUAAGGGUGCAUAAACUUUUCAGAAGCUGACCAGGUCAAUCAAGACUCAGUUGCUUGAACAAGAUUGUUUUUUUCCUUAAAAUAAUCAAGUCGGCACUAUUAGAAAUGGCUAGUUGAUUCCUAAUAGUAAUAUAAUAUGGUAGUUGACUUUCCAGCUUUAUUAGAAAAUGGCUAGUUGUAUGCAAUCAAAAUUAGCAUAUGUAAUGAUAGUGACUGUCCAACCCAAGCAUAUGUAAUUGUUGAGUGUUCUGUUGACAAAUUGACUUGGAAAUUUCAAUUAAGUAGGCUGACAUUGUUGAUAAUUUCACUGCUCCAUUGUAAAACAACUAAUCAUCAAAUCAUAAAAUCGUUGUAAAAGUAAAGUUGAGAGAGCAAUUCUCUUAGGUGUAACUGGGAUAUCUUCCCUUUCUUUGUUAAUAAUAUAAAGGCAGGACGUAGGAUCACUUUGAUCCGAACUACAUUAACUCUUGUAUUUUCUCCUUUACUUUUCCACUAACAACCAGCUCCUCUUUUCUUUGGGGCUGUGUAAGGGUGCGUAAACUUUUCAGAAGCUGACCAAGUCAAAGAAGACUCAGUAGCACUAUAGAAAUGGCUAGUUGUAUGCAAUCAAAAUCAGCAUACGCAACGAUAGUACCUAUCUAACUCUAACAACUAUACAAUUUGGUACUAGUGAAAUCUUUUAUUGUUGAGUGUUUGGUAAACCAAUUGACUUAAUAAAUUUCAAAUCAGUAGGCUGACAAUUACCUUGUUAAAAAAUGCAAUUUGCAAUUAUUGAGAGGAAUAAAAUAAUAGUAACUUUAUGAAAAUUUUAAAAAUAUGACUUUCCGGGUCAUUACAGGCUCCUCUUUUCUUUGGGGCUGCGUAAACUUUUCAGAAGCUGACUAGGCCAAAGAAGACUCGGUCCAAUUAUUAGAAAAUGGCUGCAAUUUGCAGAUACAUUCUAGGAGCAAUUACUAGUAUUUAAUACCCUGACCAGCAGCUCAGUUGAUAUACUUGUAAAUCAAAUCUCUUCAUUCACAAAUCGAAUCGGAGAUGGCUGUUUAUGCUGCUGUAACUUCUCUGAUGGGAACAGUGCACCUGAUUUCGCAAUCCAGCUUAGACCUUCAGGAGGGUAACAAAGAACAUUUGGAAUCACUCUACGACAAGGUUGGUUCUCUACUAGAGUUUCUUGACAAUUCUGAUAAUGAACUGCAGAAAAAGGUGAAAGAUCUAGCAAACGAAGUAGAGGAUGAAGUCGAAUCGGAGAUGGCUGUUUAUGCUGCUGUAACGUCUCUGAUGGGAACAAUGCACCUUCUUUCGCAAUCCAGCUUAGACCUUCAGGAGGGUAACAAAAAACAUUUGAAAUCACUCUACGACAAGUUUGGUUCUCUACUAGAGAUUCUUGACAAUUCUGAUAAUGAACUGCAGAAAAAGGUGAAAGAUCUAGCAAACGAAGUAGAGGAUGAAGUCAAACCACAAGUUGUGCGGAUUAUGGAGAAAAAAGAGGCAAAUGAAAGGCUUCGUAAGAUUUUGGAACAAGCUAUAAAAGACAUCGCAAACGAAGUAGAGGAUGAAGUCGAAUCGCAAGCUUUGCGGAUUAUGGAGAAGGAAGAACAUAUUCGAACAGAGGCAAAUAAGAGGCUUCUUAUAAUCUUGAAACAAGCUAUAGAAGACAUCGAUUCUGUGAAGGAAGAGCUCAGCAAGCCGAGGAAGAAUAACAAGCUGCAAGCUGGAAAUGGUUCGGUUGGUGGUACUUGUUCACCACGAUCGCUUGUUUCAACCCUUGAGAAUGACAUGGUGGGGCACAGCGAUGAGCAAGACAUGGUGGGGCACAGCGAUGAGCAAGACAUGGUGGGGCACAGCGAUGAACAAGAGAGAGUGCGGGGUGAGCUUACCGGGGACUCAUCUCAACUGGAAGUCAUCUCCAUUACUGGGAUGGGAGGCAUAGGCAAGUCAACUUUUGCCAAAAAGAUGUUUUCCGAUCCCUCAAUUGUGGGAUUCUUCAAUGUUUGUGGAUGGAUUACUGUGUCCAAGGACUACAGUUUAAAAAAGAUGCUUCUAUCCCUCCUUCAAGACGCUAUUGGCGUGAAUGAACAGCUUGAUGAGAAACCCGAUGAUGAACUAGCUGAUUGCUUGCAGAAAAGUCUCAAGAAAAGAAGGUAUUUGAUUGUUGUAGAUGACAUAUGGAGCAUAGAAGCCUGGGAAGAUAUCAGACAAUGGUUUCCAGAACAUAACAAUAGAAGCCGAAUACUGUUGACUACUCGGAUCACGGAGGUUGCUCGAGAUGCUAGCUCUCCUAAGAAGCCUUUUCAAAUGCGUUUCCUAGAUCCAGAUGAAAGUUGGAAUUUGUUUUGCCAAAAGGCGUUUGGCAAAAAUGAUUGUCCAGCUGAAUUUGAGAAUGUCGGAAAGGUAAUUGCAGGAAAUUGCAACGGAUUACCACUAAUGAUUUCUGUGGUUGCAGGGUCUCUUUCUAGCGAGAAGAUGCUGCGCAAGUGGCAUGAAGUAGCUCAAAGUGUAAGCUCAUUAGUAAACCUUGAUGAAUAUCAACGUUGCUCAGGAGUGCUCGCUUUGAGCUACAAUCAUCUUCCUUCCCACUUGAAAGCUUGCUUUCUGUAUUUCGGAGUUUUCAAAAAAGCUAGUGAAAUUUCUGUGGAAAACUUGAUUAGAUUAUGGAUGGCAGA
RNAcentral lists this long non-coding RNA (9352 nucleotides) under Solanum tuberosum (potato). Its description in RNAcentral is "long non-coding RNA (STUB_LNC007851)". Lineage: Eukaryota; Viridiplantae; Streptophyta; Magnoliopsida; Solanales; Solanaceae. The record is from RNAcentral.